This 429-nucleotide ribosomal RNA is filed under the name Bacteroidota bacterium. Its description in RNAcentral is "Bacteroidetes bacterium partial 16S ribosomal RNA". It matches the Rfam family "Bacterial small subunit ribosomal RNA", at positions 355 to 776 of the family's 1533-position model. Lineage: Bacteria; Pseudomonadati; Bacteroidota. The record is from RNAcentral.
UAGGGAAUCUUCCGCAAUGGACGCAAGUCUGACGGAGCAACGCCGCGUGAGUGAAGAAGGAUUUCGGUUCGUAAAACUCUGUUGUUAGAGAAGAACAGCGCAUAGAGUAACUGUUAUGCGUGUGACGGUAUCUAACCAGAAAGCCACGGCUAACUACGUGCCAGCAGCCGCGGUAAUACGUAGGUGGCAAGCGUUGUCCGGAUUUAUUGGGCGUAAAGCGAGCGCAGGCGGUCAAUUAAGUCUGAUGUGAAAGCCCCCGGCUCAACCGGGGAGGGUCAUUGGAAACUGGUUGACUUGAGUGCAGAAGAGGAGAGUGGAAUUCCAUGUGGAGCGGUGAAAUGCGUAGAUAUAUGGAGGAACACCAGUGGCGAAGGCGACUCUCGGGUCUGUAACUGACGCUGAGGCUCGAAAGCGUGGGUAGCAAACAGG